GGCCUGUACAUUAAUGCUAUGGUAACAUUUAUUAUUUAUAAAGCUGUUUUGCGUAAUAUUUUAUUGAAUGAUUCCGCACAAUAAUGUGGCCGUCCUUGCAAUCAACACCGUCACUGAGCGGUAAAAUACAAACGGAAAUCUGCCGAAAUGUGCAGUUUCAUUCUGUUAUCAAAUGACCAAUUAAUGAGUGCGUCCGAUCCUUCGCCC
RNAcentral lists this long non-coding RNA (207 nucleotides) under Mytilus galloprovincialis (Mediterranean mussel). Lineage: Eukaryota; Metazoa; Mollusca; Bivalvia; Mytilida; Mytilidae. The record is from RNAcentral.